This 229-nucleotide ribosomal RNA is filed under the name uncultured bacterium. RNAcentral describes it as "partial 16S ribosomal RNA". It matches the Rfam family "Bacterial small subunit ribosomal RNA", at positions 568 to 796 of the family's 1533-position model. The record is from RNAcentral.
UGCGUAGGCGGACUAAUAAGUCAGUGGUGAAAUCUUUCGGCUCAACCGAGAAGCUGCCAUUGAUACUGUUAGUCUUGAGUUCGGUUGAGGUAGGCGGAAUGUGUAAUGUAGCGGUGAAAUGCUUAGAUAUUACACAGAACACCAAUUGCGUAGGCAGCUUACUAGACCGACACUGACGCUGAGGCACGAAAGCGUGGGGAGCGAACAGGAUUAGAUACCCUGGUAGUCC